CGGUCGUGCCUCAGUAGAGGCCUGGAACUCCGAGGAGGAAGGCGCCGUGUGGUUGCUGCGAGCGGGACGCGCCCUGCCCGGGCUCAGCUCCCGAGCUGGGGAAACCUUAAGAAUGGAGUCUAAACCUUCAAGGAUUCCAAGAAGAAUUUCCGUUCAACCCUCCAGCUCUUUAAGUGCUAGGAUGAUGUCUGGAAGCAGAGGAAGUAGUUUCAGUGAUACCUAUCACACAAGAGAUUCUUCAUUUAGACUGGAUUCUGAAUAUCAGUCUACAUCAGCAUCAGCAUCCGCAUCAUCAUUUCAACCUGCAUGGUAUAGUGAAUCUGAGUUAACUCAGGGAGCACGCUCAAGAUUGCAAAACCAGCAACGAGAUCAUGAUUCAAAAAGACCUAAACUUUCCUGUACGAACUGUACAUCUACCUCAGUUGGGAGAAAUGUUGGAAAUGGUUUAAAUACAGUAGCAGAUUCAUCUUGGAGGCAUAAUCAAGUUUCCAGAUCUUCAUCAAUGGUACUUGGUUCAUUUGGAACAGACUUAAUGAGAGAGAGGAGAGAUUUGGAGAGGAGAACAGAUUCCUCUCUUAGUAAUCUCCUGGAUUAUAGUCACCGAAGUGGUGAUUUCACAACUUCAUCAUAUGUUCAAGACAGAGUUCCUGCUUCAUAUUCACAGGGAGCAAGACCAAAAGAGAACUCAGUGAGCACUUUACAGUUGAAUACAUCCUCCACAAACCACCAAUUGCCUUCUGAACAUCAAACCCUAUCAAGUUCUAGGGAAUCCAGCCGAAACUCUUUACGAUCAAAUUUUUCUCCCCGAAGCAGUACACAACCUGGAUUUUCUUAUAUGUCAAGUAGAGAUGAAAUCCCAAACAUGAGCAAUUCAGAAAGGGUUGGUUCAUCUCAAAGGUCAUUUCAAGAAUCUUCUGACAAUGAAGGUAGGCGGACAACCAGGAGAUUGCUGUCACGUAUAGCUUCUAGCAUGUCAUCUACCUUUUUUUCACGAAGAUCUAGUCAGGAUUCCUUGAAUUCAAGAUCAUUGAGUUCUGAAAAUUCAUAUAUUUCUCCGAGAAUCUUGACAACCUCACAGUCUCGUAGUAAUACAACAUCAACUUCUGAAGUUCCUGAUAAUAGGGCAUCUGAAGCUUCUCAGGGAUUCCGAUUUCUUAGGCGAAGAUGGGGUUUGUCAUCUCUUAGCCAAAAUCAUAGCUCUGAGCCAGACUCAGAAAAUUUUAACCAAGAAUCUGAAGGUAGAAAUUCAGGACCUUGGUUAUCGUCCUCAUUUAGGAAUAGAUGUACACCUUUGUUCUCUAGAAGGAGGCGAGAGGGAAGAGAUGAAUCUUCAAGAAUACCUACCUCUGAUAUACCAUCUAGAUCUCAUAUUUUUAGAAGAGAAUCAAAUGAAGUGGUUCAUCUUGAAGCACAGAGCGAUGGGGCUGCUGCCAACAGACCACAAGCAUCUGCAGCAUCGAGCAGUGCUGCUACAGGGGGCUUCACAUCAGAUUCGGCUCAAGGUGGAAGAAAUACAGGAAUAACAGGGAUUCUUCCUGGUUCCUUAUUCCGAUUUGCAGUCCCCCCAGCACUUGGAAGUAAUUUGACUGACAAUGUCAUGAUCACUGUAGAUAUUAUUCCUUCAGGUUGGAAUUCAACUGAUGGAAAAAGUGAUAAAACUAAAAAUGCACCUUCAAGAGAUCCAGAAAGACUGCAGAAAAUAAAAGAGAGACAACCAGUAAAUGGGAUUGGUAAGAGGAACGAAGUGUUCAUGGAUUACCACCUCCUUUUAGAGGACUCUGAAGAAGAAGAAGGUGACUUAUGUAGAAUAUGUCAGAUGGCAGCUGCAUCAUCAUCUAAUUUGCUGAUAGAGCCAUGCAAAUGCACGGGAAGCUUGCAGUAUGUUCACCAAGAAUGUAUGAAAAAAUGGUUACAGGCCAAAAUUAACUCUGGUUCUUCAUUAGAGGCUGUAACCACCUGUGAACUUUGUAAAGAGAAGUUGCAGCUUAACCUGGAGGAUUUUGAUAUUCAUGAACUACAUAGAGCUCAUGCAAAUGAACAAGUUAGUAUAUUUUGCCUAAUUUGGCUGAGUAUGAGUUUAUCAGCUCUGGUCUCUACCUAGUUGUGUUACUGCACUUGUGCGAACAAAGCUUUUCUGAUAUGAUGGGAAAUACAAAUGAACCAAGCACACGUGUCCGGUUUAUUAACCUUGCAAGAACUCUUCAGGCACAUAUGGAAGAUCUCGAAACUUCAGAGGAUGAUUCUGAAGAAGAUGGAGACCUUAACAGAACAUUUGAUAUUGCCUAACUUCAUAUAAGACAAAUGGAUGAUCUGUGAACAAGUGUUUAUUAAAACUGGCAAUUAAGUAUGAAUUAAUUUUGUGGGGGAAUGCCUAUUAAAUACAUUGACUAUCUGUAUAUAUAAUGAAUAUAUAUAUGUGUGUGUGUGUAUAUAUAUAUAUAUGUGUGUAUAUAUAUAUAUAUAUUCAUGCUCAAGGUUGGCUGCGUUAAAAUUCCGUUGGAUCUUUUAACAUGGCCAGCAAAUCUGAUGUUUAUAAACUGGUAAUCAAAAGUAUUUUUCUUUUAGGUGAGUGGGAAAGUAUUACCCUUGUUUUAGAUAUCUAAGCGAUGCCUAUUAACUUUUUUGUGUGUGUUCUGGUUAAUAUAGUCAUAUUUAUGAAAAAGGUUCGUGUUUUAGUCUCUUGCUAGUGAGAAAAGUGAGACAAAUAUGCUUUUGAAAUAAAAUGCCAUAUGGCACCUAGUUAUUUUUCUUUUAAAUGCCUUAAGUUGCAGUCUCAUUUUGGUAAUCAUUUGCUUCCAGUGUUUAAAAAUAAAAAUAUUUUAAAAAGAUUGGGGAGAAAGUUAUGGAGAGUAUUAUAUUAGGUUUCCAAAUUUAAUUUAAAUUCUAAAUUAACUUCGCAAUAAAACCUAAUUUUUAAAAAAGUAUAUAAAUAUAAAAUAUAUAAAUGAUGGACAAAUUUUUGUACUGAUUUGCAAAAUGCAGUAGCCCAUAGUAUGUAUAUAUUCCUUUUAGGAGUAUCACAGCUGUAUAUUAUAUCAGAAUUGCCAGUCAAAUACUGUUUGGUUAAGAAAAUUAUUGCACUCUAAAGUUAAUAGAAUAUUUUUAAAUCCCACAUUCAAAGUUUAAAACACUGGUUUUCAAUGUGGUUUUUAGUGUUGUCACUUUAUAGAUAAAUAUAAUAUAAAUAACCUAUUUGGAUCCUGAUUGUUUUUAACUGUUCCUUGGUAAUUCUGAGCAUUUAUUUGAAUGACUUACUAAUAUUUUUCACUACCUUUGAAGAACAGGUGAACAUAGGUGUACACUGUGGUGAUAAGUUGUGUAUACUUUCAUAACACUGUAUUUUUUCUUCUGUCAACACCCUUAAAAUACACUUUAAAACACCUUCAGGCAGUUUCAAGUUAAAGUCUGCUGUCACAGCAACAAACUACUUUUUCAGAACCUAAAUAGAAACCAUGUAAUUUCUCAAAUGUGAAUGAACAGUUUGCCUACACUUACUUUGUUGGUCUUAUGUAAUCUCUUGGCUUGAAAUAAAGUGCAUACCGAUUGAUUCAUAGCUUGAAAUGUUUCCUUUUAAAUGGGUGCUCUAAGAUGACUUCAAACCUUAUAGUCUAGAAUCUUAUUAAAAGUUCAAAAGCUGUUGAAUGUAGUGAUAUAAAUGUUUCUAAAACAUUAGUUCAGCUCUUGCCUAUUAUCCUUCCAUUGCCUUACUUAAAACAAAAACACAGAAUUUAAAGAUGCCAGUGUUAAUAUAUUCUAUAGGUCUUCGGAGGUGCUUUGAAUUUGAAGUACAUACUUUUUUUUUCUUUUCUUUUUCCUAAUUUUUGCCAGAGGAUGCAUGUACUCACCAGAGAGAGGGAGAAGGCUCCCUACUUUGGGAAUGGGCAUGCUACAGUCUCUUCUCAGUUUCUCCAUCCUGUCAGGAUUUGGGACAGGCAUGCACAUGCACCCAGUGUGUUUCUCAAGCUGCUAGGUCUAGGACUUGAACUGCAGGGUUGGCCAAGUGGGUUCUGACUGCUUUAACUACCAAAUGACAGAGCUGGCCCAGAAGUAUUUAAAUUGCUAAUAGGAUUCAUUAUAAAAAUUAAGUGUCUUCUGCUUAUCCCACAAAAUUUUUAUUUAAAUAAUUUAAAUGGUAGAAAACAUUUGGUUGGUAUGCAUAUAAUUUAUAUAUAGUUUGUCAUUAGAAGCUAAAUGACAGGGAUAACAGAGAAUGUCCUGAGUGAUAAGUAUUGUAUUGGAUCAUGAAAAAAGUCAUGACACUUUUUUGCCUAGAAAACCAAAAAUAUGUCAUGGCUUUUCCAAUGACUCAGCAGUUCCUCAUUAUCACUUAAUACUUAAAUAUUUGCCAUAUUAGCUUGAUAGUGUAAUUGUGACACCUGGAUACCAUAUUAGCUUGAUAGUGUAAUUGUGACACCUGGAUAAGAAGAAAUGAAAAAGAAAUCAUUAUCAGUUUAAAAUUCUGAACAGAAAUAAACAGACCAUGUAUUCCUUACCACCAAGAUAGCAUAUUCCUAAAUGUAACUUAAAAUGUCAUUCUCCCUAGAUAUCUGCCAAACAGAAGAAUUGUUAUUUUUAGCUGGAACCCAGAUAUUGAAGCAUUUUCUACAUUCUGAAUGUAGUAAAUAAGCCUGCAUAUGUAAUUGUUAAUAUUAAAAAUAAAUAAUGCCUUGAAGGAUCUACUUAUCUGAUGACCAGUGAAUCGAUAUAAGUGCCUGGUAUAGAUGUUGUAAUAUUAAAAAAAACUAAGAUUUAGUAUCUUCAUUACUGGGGGCUUCUAGACCUGUUGGAGAGUGAAGUCAAACAUUGAAACUUAAAUUACAGUUUAAAACUUAUGGAUAAGCUGGCAUUAGGUAGAAUUUGUCAAAAUGUACAGAAAAAAAUUUAUGAAGUUGAGUUGAAGGGGUGAUUCUAGAGCCAGAACUAUCCAAUAAAACUGUAUAAUAAUGGAAAUGUUAUGUACAUUGCCUAGUAAAGUUAGCCAAUAACCACAUGUGAUGUAGUUAAUGUAGUUGAUGGGCUGAAUUUUAAACUGUACUUAAUAUACUAAAUGAUUGGACAUUGUAGUGCUUGAGAUUUGAGACGGUUGGUUUUAGGAAAUUGAUAAAGAUUGGUCUCCAUUCUUAAAUGAGUGGUAGAAAUUUGGUAGGGCAAGGAAUUCCAGACCAUAAUGUUCACAGUUAUAACUAUUAGUAGAUAUCUAUAAUAAAAUAGCAAUCUCCAUCACUAAACAAAAUCUCAGGUUUAAAGCACUUAUGGAGUACAGUGUGUCCAUGUAAUACAGGUAGUGUAACACUUGCUUCAUAAAGUGCCUCAUGACCACACCCUGCAGUUUUCUGUCACCACUUUGUAGUUAUUCAUGUCAUUAACAAUAGUGCUCUCAAUUCUGAUGAGGGAUGUUUUUUAUUCAUAGUGGUCACUGAGAACAGACCGCACAGGCUGGGACUUUGUUGCCAUUAAUCAAGCUGGAAACAGUGUGGCUCCCCAUGAGAAAAUUAUUCCUCAUAAAAUAAUUAAAGGAA
Molecule: RNA transcript, 5519 nt
Organism: Tupaia belangeri chinensis (Chinese tree shrew)
Lineage: Eukaryota; Metazoa; Chordata; Mammalia; Scandentia; Tupaiidae
Gene: MARCHF7
Gene name: membrane associated ring-CH-type finger 7
Exons: 11
Source: RefSeq, a predicted model, not a curated record